CCCUACNNNNNNCCGAGCGAGACUAAAUGCAGUCGAGCGGAGAUGAGGUGCUUGCACCUUAUCUUAGCGGCGGACGGGUGAGUAAUGCUUAGGAAUCUGCCUAUUAGUGGGGGACAACAUUCCGAAAGGAAUGCUAAUACCGCAUACGUCCUACGGGAGAAAGCAGGGGAUCUUCGGACCUUGCGCUAAUAGAUGAGCCUAAGUCGGAUUAGCUAGUUGGUGGGGUAAAGGCCUACCAAGGCGACGAUCUGUAGCGGGUCUGAGAGGAUGAUCCGCCACACUGGGACUGAGACACGGCCCAGACUCCUACGGGAGGCAGCAGUGGGGAAUAUUGGACAAUGGGGGGAACCCUGAUCCAGCCAUGCCGCGUGUGUGAAGAAGGCCUUAUGGUUGUAAAGCACUUUAAGCGAGGAGGAGGCUACUGAGACUAAUACUCUUGGAUAGUGGACGUUACUCGCAGAAUAAGCACCGGCUAACUCUGUGCCAACACCGNCGGUAAUAA
Molecule: ribosomal RNA, 502 nt
Filed under: Acinetobacter junii
Lineage: Bacteria; Pseudomonadati; Pseudomonadota; Gammaproteobacteria; Moraxellales; Moraxellaceae
Description: bacterial SSU rRNA
Rfam family: Bacterial small subunit ribosomal RNA
Source: RNAcentral